AUCCUGGCUCAGGAUGAACGCUAGCUACAGGCUUAACACAUGCAAGUCGAGGGGGAAACGACAGGGAGUGCUUGCACACUCUGGGCGUCGACCGGCGCACGGGUGAGUAACGCGUAUCCAACCUGCCCACCACUUGGGAAUAACCUUGCGAAAGUAAGACUAAUGCCCAAUGAUAUUGAGUGCAGACAUCUAAUCUCAAUUAAAGAUUUAUCGGUGAUGGAUGGGGAUGCGUCCGAUUAGCUUGUUGGCGGGGUAACGGCCCACCAAGGCAACGAUCGGUAGGGGUUCUGAGAGGAAGGUCCCCCACAUUGGAACUGAGACACGGUCCAAACUCCUACGGGAGGCAGCAGUGAGGAAUAUUGGUCAAUGGCCGCAAGGCUGAACCAGCCAAGUCGCGUGAGGGAAUAAGGCCCUAUGGGUCGUAAACCUCUUUUGUCAGGGAGCAAAGCCGCACACGAGUGAGCGGAAGGAGAGUACCUGAAGAAAAAGCAUCGGCUAACUCCGUG
Molecule: ribosomal RNA, 506 nt
Filed under: uncultured bacterium
Lineage: Bacteria
Description: bacterial SSU rRNA
Rfam family: Bacterial small subunit ribosomal RNA
Source: RNAcentral